GCACCCGUAGUGAAAUGGAUAUCAUACCUGCCUUCGAAGCAGAUGUUGGGGGUUCGAAUCCCUCCGGGUGCA
This 72-nucleotide transfer RNA is filed under the name Candidatus Nomurabacteria bacterium. Its description in RNAcentral is "tRNA-Arg". It matches the Rfam family "tRNA". From Rfam's summary of the family: Transfer RNA (tRNA) molecules are approximately 80 nucleotides in length. Their secondary structure includes four short double-helical elements and three loops (D, anti-codon, and T loops). Further hydrogen bonds mediate the characteristic L-shaped molecular structure. tRNAs have two regions of fundamental functional importance: the anti-codon, which is responsible for specific mRNA codon recognition, and the 3' end, to which the tRNAs corresponding amino acid is attached (by aminoacyl-tRNA synthetases). tRNAs cope with the degeneracy of the genetic code in two manners: having more than one tRNA (with a specific anti-codon) for a particular amino acid; and 'wobble' base-pairing, i.e. permitting non-standard base-pairing at the 3rd anti-codon position. The record is from RNAcentral. Lineage: Bacteria; Candidatus Nomuraibacteriota.